Long non-coding RNA from Erigeron canadensis, 202 nucleotides. RefSeq lists it as uncharacterized. The record is from RefSeq and is a predicted model, not a curated record. The transcript is spliced from 3 exons. Lineage: Eukaryota; Viridiplantae; Streptophyta; Magnoliopsida; Asterales; Asteraceae.
GCCACGGUUAAAUCUCUAAUCAGAAAAUGAGAGAUUGAUGAAACUUUAUACAAAAGCAAUCACCAAACCACCGAAUCAGAUCAGGAAUACGAUAACAGCUGCGGGUCGUGUAUGGCCAAACAAAGUGUCUACUACUACGAGUUUUACCUAAGAAUAACACAGAAGGUUGCAUUUGUAAUCGAUAGAUUGUUGGCAAGAUAGU